GACGUAGGGCGCGAGCGUUGUCCGGAUUUAUUGGGCGUAAAGAGCUCGUAGGCGGCCAGUUGCGUCUGCUGUGAAAUCCCGGGGCUCAACCCCGGGCGUGCAGUGGAUACGGGCUGGCUAGAGGCAGGCAGGGGAGAACGGAAUUCCCGGUGUAGCGGUGAAAUGCGCAGAUAUCGGGAGGAACACCGGUGGCGAAGGCGGUUCUCUGGGCCUGUACUGACGCUGAGGAGCGAAAGCGUGGGGAGCGAACAGG
This 253-nucleotide ribosomal RNA is filed under the name uncultured bacterium. Its description in RNAcentral is "partial 16S ribosomal RNA". It matches the Rfam family "Bacterial small subunit ribosomal RNA", at positions 524 to 776 of the family's 1533-position model. The record is from RNAcentral.